Molecule: long non-coding RNA, 391 nt
Organism: Mirounga angustirostris (Northern elephant seal)
Lineage: Eukaryota; Metazoa; Chordata; Mammalia; Carnivora; Phocidae
Exons: 3
Source: RefSeq, a predicted model, not a curated record
UGACCAACGCAGGGAGAGGAUACAGACAGAGAGAACUGGAUUCCAAGGACGGGCACCUGAGACAGUCAACUCAAUAGCUUGGGAAGAACAUGAACAAGCAAAGAACACCAAGAACACCAAGAAGGAGCAACCAGGGAGAAAACUCAAGGAAGUCUGAACAAAUGGUUUCCCAAAAUCAAGGUCACAUUUUCCAGCCUUCCUGGCAACAUGGUAUAGUCAUGUAACAGAGUUCUGAUGACGGGGAGGAGGAAAUUUGGACACACAAAGAGACACCAGGGAUGUGCACGCAGAGCAGAGUGACCACGUGAGAACACAGAGACAAGCCGGCCAUCUGCAAGCCAAGCGGAGAGACCUCAGGAGAGACCAAACCUGCCACCACCACACUGUGGAA